Molecule: unclassified non-coding RNA, 421 nt
Filed under: soil metagenome
Description: partial contains 5.8S ribosomal RNA, internal transcribed spacer 2, and large subunit ribosomal RNA
Rfam family: 5.8S ribosomal RNA (bases 1-120)
Source: RNAcentral
GAUGAAGAACGUAGCGAAAUGCGAUACGUAAUGUGAAUUGCAGAAUUCAGUGAAUCAUCGAAUCUUUGAACGCAUAUUGCGCUCUUUGGUAUUCCGAAGAGCAUGCUUGUUUGUGUAUCAGUAAACACCUCAACCUCUUCUUGAUUUUUCAAAAGGAGGGUGGACUUGAGCUAUCCCAACAACCUUUACCGGUCGGCGGGCGGCUUGAAAUGCAGGUGCAGCUGGACUUUUAUCUGAGCUAAAAGCAUAUCUAUUUAGUCCUCGUCAAACAGGAUUAUUACUUUUGCUGCAGCUAACAUAAAGGAUAAUUGUCCUCUUUGCUGACUGAUGCAGGAUUUUACGACACUUUAUGUGUUGUUCAACUCGAUCUCAAAUCAAGUAAGACUACCCGCUGAACUUAAGCAUAUCAAUAAGCGGAGGA